GACUAACGCUGGCGGCGUGCUUAACACAUGCAAGUCGAACGGAAAGGCCCUGCUUUUGUGGGGUGCUCGAGUGGCGAACGGGUGAGUAACACGUGAGUAACCUGCCCUUGACUUUGGGAUAACUUCAGGAAACUGGGGCUAAUACCGGAUAGGAGCUCCUGCUGCAUGGUGGGGGUUGGAAAGUUUCGGCGGUUGGGGAUGGACUCGCGGCUUAUCAGCUUGUUGGUGGGGUAGUGGCUUACCAAGGCUUUGACGGGUAGCCGGCCUGAGAGGGUGACCGGCCACAUUGGGACUGAGAUACGGCCCAUACUCCUACGGGAGGCAGCAGUGGGGAAUAUUGCACAAUGGGCGGAAGCCUGAUGCAUCAUCGCCGCGUGCGGGAUGACGGCCUUCGGGUUGUGAAACCGCUUUCGCCUGUGACGAAUCGUGAGUGACGGUAAUGGGUAAAGAAGCCCCUGCUAACUUACGUGCCAUCAGCCCGCGGUGAUACUUACGGUGCGAGCGUUGUCCGGAUUUUAUUGGGCUUAAAGGGCUCUGUAAGUGGUUGAUCGCCUUGGAAGUGUAAUCUUGGGGCUUAACCCCUGAGCGUGCUUUCGAUAACGGGUUGACUUGAGGAAGGUAGGGGAGGAAUGGAAUUCCCUGGUGGAGCGGUGGAAUGCGCAGAUAUCAGGAGGAACACCAGUGGCGAAGGCGGUUCUCUGGGCCUUUCCUGACGCUGAGGAGCGAAAGCGUGGGGAGCGAACAGGCUUAGAUACCCUGGUAGUCCACGCUGUAAACGGUGGGUACUAGGUGUGGGGUCCAUUCCACGGGUUCCGUGCCGUAGCUAACGCUUUAAGUACCCCGCCUGGGGAGUACGGCCGCAAGGCUAAAACUCAAAGGAAUUGACGGGGCCCCGCACAAGCGGCGGAGCAUGCGGAUUAAUUCGAUGCAACGCGUAGAACCUUACCUGGGUUUGACAUGGAUCGGGAGUGCUCAGAGAUGGGUGUGCCUCUUUUGGUGUCGGUUCACAGGUGGUGCAUGCCUGUCGUCAGCUCGUGUCGUGAGAUGUUGGGUUAAGUCCCGCAACGAGCGCAACCCUUGUUCACUGUUGCCAGCACGUUAUGGUGGGGACUCAGUGGAGACCGCCGGGGUCAACUCGGAGGAAGGUGGGGAUGACGUCAAGUCAUCAUGCCCCUUAUGUCCAGGGCUUCACGCAUGCUACAAUGGCUGGUACAGAGAGUGGCGAGCCUGUGAGGGUGAGCGAAUCUCGGAAAGCCGGUCUCAGUUCGGAUUGGGGUCUGCAACUCGACCUCAUGAAGUCGGAGUCGCUAGUAAUCGCAGAUCAGCAACGCUGCGGUGAAUACGUUCCCGGGGCU
This 1355-nucleotide ribosomal RNA is filed under the name uncultured bacterium. RNAcentral describes it as "bacterial SSU rRNA". It matches the Rfam family "Bacterial small subunit ribosomal RNA", at positions 28 to 1381 of the family's 1533-position model. The record is from RNAcentral.